Molecule: long non-coding RNA, 1845 nt
Organism: Mauremys reevesii (Reeves's turtle)
Lineage: Eukaryota; Metazoa; Chordata; Testudines; Geoemydidae
Exons: 3
Source: RefSeq, a predicted model, not a curated record
CACAUGCAAGAAGCUAUAAAAGGGGGAAAUAACAUUACCACGAGGCCUCACUCCCCCUGCAAGACAACACCUGAGGAAUAAAGACUGAACUGGGGAAGCAGGGUCCCAGGUGGGACAGAAGAAUUCCUGCCUGUGUAUGCAAAAGCAAUAACCUGCUUUACCAGCUAACAGACUUUUUGUAGGUCACAGAUGAAAUUAGGCUCUCAGUUUUAGCAGUAAAAAAAAAAACAGGAGUACUUUAAACCUGGAAUAGCUCCAGCAACGUCAUUAGUAAUGGAUAGAGCCUGCACCAUUAAAGUGAAUGGGAGAAUUGCUACUGACUGCAGGAGCAGGCCCAAUAUGAAUACAUGAGAGCAAGCGAAGAAGAAUUGGAUUAUCCAGGUGCUGAGUAACACACAGGAUCAAGAGUCCUGCUGAAAAGACCAAGAGGAAGUCUGACAAAAACUAAUGACCUGAUCCAUACACGGAGCCCUUGUUGACUUGAACUGACAGCAGCUGAGCGUAGAGUUACUAAGAACAGAAAAUGUAGUUGGGGGGGAUGUUGUCAUCGUAUGCAUCCAUAAAGCACCAUACAUGUGACUUAACAAUAACUCCAGCAGCUGAAAUGGUUCCGGCUCUAUCUAUGUACUUACAUGACUUCCAUCACUGUUGCAUCUAAGCACCUAACUUCCUAUAGUCCCAGAAUAUACAGGUUUUGUCUGGGUAGUCUGUGUAGUGCUUGCUGCCCUGACCCCUCAGUCUUGGGGGCUGCUCUUGUCCACAGCUCUGAAGCAAGUAGCUGAGAGGAUAUUCCAUAGCCAGAUCCCACAGCUGUGGCAUUGCAGGCCCGGGUCCUGGGGUAAUAGAGACUGUGCAGUUGAUGCAUUUGAUCUCUGGAGAGGAAGGAGUAAAUGCUGGAUGCAUGGCACCCUGUGCCAGCUGGCUUGGGAGGAGCAACAUUGGCUUUGAUUGUGCAAGCAGGUGCCCACUUCCCCUCCUCAUCUAAUGGAGAGAGCUAGGGAACAGCUGUAAGCAGAGCAAAGUUAAAAAAAUAGAGGGAAAUAGGGAUUAAAAAAUAACUGGCUUGUCUGGCACGGGGAACUUGACAUGUUUUUCAUCUAAAUUAAAGAGAAAGUUGUGCUGUUGUUUUUCUGUCUGAAACAAUUGGCUAAUACAAGAGCUGCACAUUUUCGAGAAGUGAGAACAAGCCAUAUGUCUUCCAUAAAAACAUACUGAUACAGUUGAGCCUGCAAUGUAAGCUCUGUGGUAAAUCAUUUUUCUCACAUGCCAUGGUUAAAGCAAGCAAUAUUUUUAUUUGCCAAAAUGUAUUUACAGCAUUGUAUUAUCAUUCAUCUCUGUCAGUUUUGCAUUUGUUAUCAUUGACACAUGGUAAAGUAGUUUCAAUUAUCUCUGAGCGCAAGAACUGAGAAUUUUUUCUAUUCAACACAGUCUAGUUCACUUCCAGUAUCUAAGCUACCAUAAUACAAAUGUUACUGAAGGUUCCUUUUUUUCCUUUUUAGUUCAUAAUAAAGGCAGCUCACUUGAGCAAAUAGUUCCUUUGAAAUGCUAAAAUCCUUCUCAGAUGUGUUUUUUGUUAGAUCAGCUGCACUGUUAAAAUACUUUUUCUUUUCCCUUUAGCUUGAAUGCAGAAUAACACUUAUUAGCCAUAUGGACACAAAGUAGCUCAUCCACUGAAGACAACUGAAUUAAAGCUUCAUGUGGAAAGAUGAAUUAACUGUGAUGCAGGAUGUAAAAACCGCAAUUAUAUUAAGUGACUGUUUUUACUCUUUCACUUCUUAUGCAACACAAUCUUUGGGGGAAAAAAAAGUAAAAACAGCAUCCACAAACAUUCACAGUCAUACUUGU